RNAcentral lists this ribosomal RNA (488 nucleotides) under uncultured bacterium. RNAcentral describes it as "partial 16S ribosomal RNA". It matches the Rfam family "Bacterial small subunit ribosomal RNA", at positions 899 to 1397 of the family's 1533-position model. The record is from RNAcentral.
ACUCAAAUGAAUUGACGGGGACCCGCACAAGCGGUGGAGCAUGUGGUUUAAUUCGAUGGUAAGCGGAGCACCUCACCAAGGUUUGACAUCCUCUUGAAAGGCACCAGAAAUGGAGCCCCUCUUCGGACAAGAGUGACAGGUGCUGCACGGUUGUCGUCAGCUCGUGUUGUGAAAUGUACCGUUAAGUCGGAUAACGAGCGCAACCCCUAUUGCCAGUUUUACAUGUCUGGCGAGACUGCCGUGGUUAACACGGAGGAAGGUGGGGAUGACGUCAAAUCAGCGUGGCCUUUAUACCUUGGGCGACACACGUGCUACAAUGGGUAGGUCACAAUGGGCCGCAAUAGCGCAAGCUGGAGCUAAUCCCAACAAAACUACCCCCAGUUCGGAUUGAGGGCUGCAACUCGCCCUCAUGAAGCCGGAAUCGCUAGUAACUGCAGAUCAGCCAUGCUGCGGUGAAUACGUUCUCGGGUCUUGUACACACCGCCCGU